RNAcentral lists this ribosomal RNA (465 nucleotides) under uncultured bacterium. RNAcentral's name for it is "partial 16S ribosomal RNA". It matches the Rfam family "Bacterial small subunit ribosomal RNA", at positions 28 to 507 of the family's 1533-position model. The record is from RNAcentral.
GAUGAACGCUGGCGGCGUGCUUAACACAUGCAAGUCGAACGGAAAGGCUCCUGCUUGCAGGGGUACUCGAGUGGCGAACGGGUGAGUAACACGUGGGUGAUCUGCCCUGCACUUCGGGAUAAGCCUGGGAAACUGGGUCUAAUACCGGAUAGGACGAUGGUUUGGAUGCCAUUGUGGAAAGUUUUUCGGUGUGAGAUGAGCUCGCGGCCUAUCAGCUUGUUGGUGGGGUAAUGGCCUACCAAGGCGUCGACGGGUAGCCGGCCUGAGAGGGUGUACGGCCACAUUGGGACUGAGAUACGGCCCAGACUCCUACGGGAGGCAGCAGUGGGGAAUAUUGCACAAUGGGCGCAAGCCUGAUGCAGCGACGCCGCGUGGGGGAUGACGGCCUUCGGGUUGUAAACUCCUUUCGCUAGGGACGAAGCGCAAGUGACGGUACCUGGAGAAGAAGCACCGGCUAACUACGUG